This 31-nucleotide non-coding RNA is filed under the name Homo sapiens (human). The record is from RNAcentral. Lineage: Eukaryota; Metazoa; Chordata; Mammalia; Primates; Hominidae.
CUCCAGUGCAACAGUUGGCCACAGCAUGGCA